Molecule: long non-coding RNA, 494 nt
Organism: Sinocyclocheilus rhinocerous
Lineage: Eukaryota; Metazoa; Chordata; Actinopteri; Cypriniformes; Cyprinidae
Exons: 4
Source: RefSeq, a predicted model, not a curated record
UACGACACAGGAGAAGUUCCUGAUUUUAACAUUUCUGAAGGGAGCUGCUGACAUAUAGAAAACACAGAUUCUUCCAUGCUGAUGGCCGUGCACUAGAGUUGGAGCGUAUCUCCUGUCGAAGAACAUAUCUAGACAUUAUGAACCAUAUGACUAAGACUGAAAAUCAUCAAUAAACCACAAGAGUUUAGCUCCAACCCCAAUUAAGCAGACCUGAGCAGCUGAUCAAGGAUCACCAGAAACUUUGCAGAACGUUGGUCCUCCAUGCCCAGGACUGGACACCAGUGUUGUAAGUCAUCAAUCUAGCAGUCAUCCUGCCUCUCUGAAUUGUCAUGUUCAGAAUAUAUUGCAGGAGAUCUUAACAUUGUCUCUCAAGGUCCACUUACAUGCAGCGUUUUGCUCCAACCUAGUGCAGUGCACCUGAACACACUAAUCAAGGUUUUCAGUUUUACUAACUAUCAAGUCACAAACAGGUGAGUGUGAUCAGGUGUGGACCU